GAUAAACGUUUUGCGGCGUGCCUGAUGCAUGCAAGUCGAACGACCUGAUUUUUCGCAAGAUUGAUCAGGGAGUGGCGAACGGCUGAGUAACGCGUAAGUAACCUACCCUUAAGUGGGGGAUAACUUGCCGAAAGGCAGGCUAAUACCGCAUGUGCUAGUAAACGUCAGUUUAUUAGCAAAGCUUUUGCGCUUGAGGAGGGGCUUGCGUCUGAUUAGCUUGUUGGUAGGGUAACGGCCUACCAAGGCGAUGAUCAGUAGCUGGUCUGAGAGGACAACCAGCCAGACGGGGACUGAGAUACGGCCCUGACUCCUACGGGAGGCAGCAGCAAGGAAUUUUGCGCAAUGGGCGAAAGCCUGACGCAGCGACGCCGCGUGGGGGAUGACGGCCUUCGGGUUGUAAACCCCUUUUCUCGGGGAAGAAAUAUGACGGUACUCGAGGAAUAAGUCUUGGCUAACUACGUG
This 462-nucleotide ribosomal RNA is filed under the name uncultured bacterium. RNAcentral's name for it is "bacterial SSU rRNA". It matches the Rfam family "Bacterial small subunit ribosomal RNA", at positions 37 to 507 of the family's 1533-position model. The record is from RNAcentral.